UACAGAGGGUGCGAGCGUUGUUCGGAAUUAUUGGGCGUAAAGGGCGCGUAGGCGGUGCCACAAGUCACCUGUGAAAUCUCCGGGCUUAACUCGGAGCCUGCAGGCGAAACUGUGGUGCUGGAGUGUGGGAGAGGUGCGUGGAAUUCCUGGUGUAGCGGUGAAAUGCGCAGAUAUCAGGAGGAACACCGGUGGCGAAGGCGGGUCUCUGGGCCGAUACUGACGCUGAGGAGCGAAAGCGUGGGGAGCGAACAGG
This 253-nucleotide ribosomal RNA is filed under the name uncultured bacterium. RNAcentral's name for it is "partial 16S ribosomal RNA". It matches the Rfam family "Bacterial small subunit ribosomal RNA", at positions 524 to 776 of the family's 1533-position model. The record is from RNAcentral.